RNAcentral lists this ribosomal RNA (466 nucleotides) under uncultured bacterium. Its description in RNAcentral is "partial 16S ribosomal RNA". It matches the Rfam family "Bacterial small subunit ribosomal RNA", at positions 28 to 507 of the family's 1533-position model. The record is from RNAcentral.
GACGAACGCUGGCGGUGUGCUUAACACAUGCAAGUCGAACGGUAAGGCCCUUUCGGGGGUACACGAGUGGCGAACGGGUGAGUAACACGUGAGUAACCUGCCCUCAUCUCUGGGAUAACAGUCGGAAACGGUUGCUAAUACUGGAUAUGAGCUUGCAAGGCAUCUUGUGGGUUGGAAAGAUUUUUUUGGUUGGGGAUGGACUCGCGGCCUAUCAGCUUGUUGGUGAGGUAGUGGCUCACCAAGGCUUCGACGGGUAGCCGGCCUGAGAGGGCGACCGGCCACAUUGGGACUGAGAUACGGCCCAAACUCCUACGGGAGGCAGCGGUGGGGAAUAUUGCACAAUGGACGGAAGUCUGAUGCAGCAACGCCGCGUGCGGGAUGACGGCCUUCGGGUUGUAAACCGCUUUCAAUUGUGACGAAGCUUUUUGUGACGGUAGCAGUAGAAGAAGCACCGGCUAACUACGUG